This 157-nucleotide ribosomal RNA is filed under the name Synotis sinica. RNAcentral describes it as "5.8S ribosomal RNA". It matches the Rfam family "5.8S ribosomal RNA". From Rfam's summary of the family: 5.8S ribosomal RNA (5.8S rRNA) is a component of the large subunit of the eukaryotic ribosome. It is transcribed by RNA polymerase I as part of the 45S precursor that also contains 18S and 28S rRNA. The record is from RNAcentral. Lineage: Eukaryota; Viridiplantae; Streptophyta; Magnoliopsida; Asterales; Asteraceae.
GACUCUCGGCAACGGAUAUCUCGGCUCACGCAUCGAUGAAGAACGUAGCAAAAUGCGAUACUUGGUGUGAAUUGCAGAAUCCCGUGAACCAUCGAGUUUUUGAACGCAAGUUGCGCCCGAAGCCUUUUGGCCAAGGGCACGUCUGCCUGGGCGUCAC